GAUGAACGCUGGCGGCGUGCUUAACACAUGCAAGUCGAACGGGAAACCUUUUAUUGCAGCUUCGGCAGAUUUAGCUGGUUUCUAGUGGCGGACGGGUGAGUAACGCGUGGGUAACCUGCCUUAUACAGGGGGAUAACAGUCAGAAAUGGCUGCUAAUACCGCAUAAGCGCACAGAGCUGCAUGGCUCAGUGUGAAAAACUCCGGUGGUAUAAGAUGGACCCGCGUUGGAUUAGCUGGUUGGUGGGGUAACGGCCCACCAAGGCGACGAUCCAUAGCCGGCCUGAGAGGGUGAACGGCCACAUUGGGACUGAGACACGGCCCAGACUCCUACGGGAGGCAGCAGUGGGGAAUAUUGCACAAUGGGGGAAACCCUGAUGCAGCGACGCCGCGUGAAGGAAGAAGUAUCUGGGUAUGUAAACUUCUAUCAGCAGGGAAGAUAAUGACGGUACCUGACGAAGAAGCCCCGGCUAACUACGUG
This 478-nucleotide ribosomal RNA is filed under the name uncultured bacterium. Its description in RNAcentral is "partial 16S ribosomal RNA". It matches the Rfam family "Bacterial small subunit ribosomal RNA", at positions 28 to 507 of the family's 1533-position model. The record is from RNAcentral.